CCUACGUGUGGCAGCAGUGAGGAAUAUUGGUCAAUGGGCGCGAGCCUGAACCAGCCAAGUAGCGUGAAGGAUGACUGCCCUAUGGGUUGUAAACUUCUUUUAUAUGGGAAUAAAAUGUUCCACGUGUGGGAUUUUGUAUGUACCAUAUGAAUAAGGAUCGGCUAACUCCGUGCCAGCAGCCGCGGUAAUACGGAGGAUCCGAGCGUUAUCCGGAUUUAUUGGGUUUAAAGGGAGCGUAGGUGGAUUGUUAAGUCAGUUGUGAAAGUUUGCGGCUCAACCGUAAAAUUGCAGUUGAAACUGGCAGUGUUGAGUACAGUAGAGGUGGGCGGAAUUCGUGGUGUAGCGGUGAAAUGCUUAGAUAUCACGAAGAACUCCGAUUGCGAAGGCAGCUCACUGGACUGCAACUGACACUGAGGCUCGAAAGUGUGGGUAUCAAACAGGAUUAGAUACCCCGGUAGUC
This 460-nucleotide ribosomal RNA is filed under the name uncultured bacterium. RNAcentral's name for it is "partial 16S ribosomal RNA". It matches the Rfam family "Bacterial small subunit ribosomal RNA", at positions 338 to 795 of the family's 1533-position model. The record is from RNAcentral.